Molecule: RNA transcript, 5831 nt
Organism: Mustela lutreola (European mink)
Lineage: Eukaryota; Metazoa; Chordata; Mammalia; Carnivora; Mustelidae
Gene name: pyruvate dehydrogenase phosphatase regulatory subunit, mitochondrial-like
Exons: 7
Source: RefSeq, a predicted model, not a curated record
UUUUUACUCCCUCUGCCUCGCCUCUUUCCGUUCCCGGCUCCCCGCGUUCUGGUGCCGGGACCCCUCGCAACUGUUGUGGCUGCUGCCCCGCUGCCGCCGGGGUGGUGCUGACCGCGGAGCGCUCGGAGGCCCGUGAGUGUGAAUGUCGGGGAUCUCCGCCGUAGCUGAGUGAGAGCACACCUCCGAGCUGCCGACAGACGGGAUGUUUUUUCGGUUGCUGUCGGCGGUCCGAAGACAAAGGCCCGGCCGAGGAUGGCAGAACCGGUCGUCGGGGAGGAGCAGUGCGUCGGCCGCCGAGGCGCAUUCUGUCGCCCUGCCCGCCCAGGCGCAGGUGGUCAUCUGCGGUGGCGGGAUCAUGGGCACAUCCGUGGCCUAUCACCUCUCCAAGAUGGGGUGGAAGGAUAUUGUCCUUUUGGAGCAGGGCAGGCUGGCUGCUGGCUCCACGAGGUUCUGUGCUGGCAUCCUGAGCACCGCCAGGCACCUGACCAUCGAGCAGAAGAUGGCAGACUAUUCCAACAAGCUCUACCACCAGUUAGAGCAAGAAACGGGCAUCCAGACAGAGCCCCUGCUGAGUUCCCUCCUGCGUCGCAUGCCCGACCUGGAGACCCUGGAGAUCCUGAAGUUGGUGAACUGCCCUGAGACCUUCACCCCGGACAUGAGGUGCAUCAUGGGCGAGUCUCCUUCGGUGAGGGGCUACUUCGUCCUGGCGGGAAUGAACUCUGCCGGCCUUUUGUUCGGUGGAGGGGCUGGGAGGUUCUCAGCGGAGGGUAGAGACUCAGAUGCCAGAAGAUGUGUCCAUCAGGCAGAGGAUGAACAGAGCUAGAAAGCAAGCUUCAAAGAGAAGAGCGCAGAGGCCCUCCCUCAAGAGAGCCCAAGAUCAAGACAGCACAAGAGGUGACAGUGGAUCCUUUCAGAGAAAAGACCGCGUGUCCGAACACAAAGUCCCGCUAACCGUUCCCAGCAGUCCGGGGCCCUGGGAUCUCCAGGGAGAGACUGGAAGAGGACAGUACGCGGUACACAGAGCACAUGACGUAUGUGUCCGUCAGCUCCUCGAGUGAUCAGUAAGGCUUCCAGUCAACAGCAGGCUCUUAGCAGAUCACGUUUUUGAGGAGUUGAAAGUUCUAUGUGAGGCUCUGGGGCAGGAUGGGGGUGCCCUGACCCCCACGUUAUUCAAGGGUCAACUGCAUAACCUUCUUGAGGAUGAAAGCGCUUGAGAAGAACCCAGGCAUGGCACAAAUCACCUCUUGGACUCAUGGAAAAUCAUAAAAACAGGACCAGCCCAGGAUAGUCAGACAUGGAAACCAAGGCCUUAACUAAUGAAGCUACUGGAGCCACAGAGCAUCCCCCUCUUGACCAGGUUUGGCCACUUAAUGACACAGGCACCCAAGCGGCAAAGCUGACUGAUCAUGUGGCACUUCAGAAUCGAUCCCUGCCCGCACAGGCACAAGUCAGCUACCUCUGCAUCAACUCUUCCCAAAUUGUGACUAAUCCCUUCAUCUUAAAACCAUUAUAUCUGUCUGGACAAGGACAUAAAAUUCCAUGGGCUGGCAGAUGCAUGCUUCUGCCAGUAACGGAAAGAAAGCCUAAGGCCGUAGGUAAUGCAACUAACAUCAAGAACAAGACAGAGAUGCCUAGGAUCCCUAUGUACAUAAGACUGGACCCUGAAAAUUCCAAGGACUCAACUAAAAAGCAACUAUAAGAAAAUUUAGUAAGGAAAUAAAAAAUAUAAAAGAAAAAAUGGCUUUCAUUAUCACUUUGGGGCGCCUGGGUGGCUCAGUUAAACAUUUGCCUUCAGCUCAGAUCAUGAUCUCAGGGUCCUGGGAUCGAGACCCGAUUCGGGCUCCUGGCUAAGCUGCUCCCUUUCCCUCUGCCCAUCUCCCAACCUGUGCAUGCUCCCGCUCUCAAAUAAUAAAAUCUUUUUAAAAAAUAAUAAUCACUUAGAAGAUAAUGGAACAAAGAUACUCCUCUCAUUCACAAUAGCAACAAAAUAUUUUAACAUCUGUAAGAAGAAAACUUCAAAUACCUCUGAAAGGUCACCAAAAAAACUUAAAUAAAAACUCAAAGGCUUUCUUUUUAAGAUUGAGCACAUCAUGUCAGUUCUUCCUAAUGUAUAAAUGUAAUAUAAUCCAGAAUCCGUCAGUGUUCUUAACUAGAUAAUUACAGUUUCCAAGGGAAAAUAAGAAAACAUGGUUUUUUCCCCAGAGUUUUCCAAGCUAUGGAGGAGGAUAAGCACGACCAAAUAUUACAAUACAUAAGUGACCCCGAUCAUGGAUCGACUAAGGGAACAGAAGUCCAAAAAUAAAAACAGAAGUCCAGAAAUAAAUCCAAAAACAUAGAGGAAUUUAAGAUCCGUAAGGACGGAAUGUCAAAUCAACUGGUUAUCCAUGUAGAAAAAAAGUCUAAUCCAUAUCCCAUGAAGUACAGCAAGAGACACUGCAAAAGGAUGGGGCAUCAAAAUACAUGAAAACCCCACAAACCCAUACAACAGAGCAACACAACUAUAAAAGCACUAGAGGAAAACUGAAAAAAAUCUUACAAUCCUGACGCUAUGCAUCACACUCCAGAAGGCACAAAAGAUCAACUCAAUUACAUAAAAAUCCAAAUCUCUGCAAUGUAUGAAACAUUUCUCAUAAUUUUUUUUUUUUAAACCCUGUGUGGCAAAAAAAUGAAAAGACCAGUGACAAACUGGGGGGCAUCUAGGUGGCUCAGUGGUUAAAGCCUCCAAUUCUUGGUUUCAGCUCAGGUCACGAUCUCUGGGUUCUGAGAUCAAGUCCCACAUCGGUCUCUGUGCUCAGUACCAAGUCUGCCGGAGACUUUCCCUCUGCCCAUCCCCCCGCUUGCGCACACACUCUCAAAUAAAAUCAAUCUUAAAAAAAAAAAAAAAAAGACAAACUGGGAUACACCUCAACAGCAAGGACUGAUUUAGACAAUGCUUAAAAACUGGUAAACAGACCAAUCAUUGGGGCACCUGAGUGGCUCAGUGGGUUGAAGCCUCUGCCUUCAGCUCGGGUCAUGGUCCCAGGGUCCUGGGAUCAAGCCCCAAAUCGGGCUCUCUGCUCAGCGGGGAGCCUGCUUCCCUUCCUCUUUCUCUGCCUGCCUCUCUGCCUCCUUGUGAUCUCUGUCAAAUGGAUAAAUAAAAUCUUAAAAUAAAUAAAUAAAUAAAUAAUCUUCAGUGGAAAAAAAAAAGACCAAUCAUUGAUUACAAAAGUGCACAAAGGUUAUGACCAGAACAUUCAUUCAUGCCACGUUUAUUAACCACUUAACUAUGUGCCAAAUACUUCUCUAGGUGCCUAAGAUAUAAAAGUUAAAACUGAUAAAUAAUCCUGCCUUCAGAGAACUUAAAUUAAAGGUAAUCUGAUGAAUGAAAUAAAUAAAACACAUUUUAUCAGAUGGAAAGCAGAGAGGGAGAACCAGGGGGUUCUGGUUCUGGCUGUUGCGCCCGUUAAGGCUUCAUCCGGAAGAUGCCAUGUGAACGCGACCCGAAGCAGGUGCGGCUCUGAGAGCCUCCCGAUGAGGGAAGGACACACCAGGGAAGGGGAAGAGCCAAGUGCAAAGACCCUGAGGCAGGAGCAGCAGCACAGUCCAGGACUGGCAAGGAGCAGAAGAGGCAGAGAAAGGAUAAGGUCAGAAGAACAAGGUGGGGGAGGGGCGGGCAGGAGUGCACAGGUCCUACAGAUGAGCUUUUACUUGGAAAUGGGUUCUGAAAAGUUGCUUCAUCUCACAAAGAAAGUGAAGAGUGCGCUGACAACGCCGUACCUAUCAGCCAGCGUGCAAGAGAGCAGCGCUGGGGCGUGCGCGUGUGCGGCCCGGGAAGACACCGGUACACAGAGCGGCUUGUAACAAAGGCCUACAAAGCGCUACACCCACAAACGUCCAUUAGUCCCAGACUAAUCACGUAAAUGAUGAUUUGAUGAUGUGAUGUGAAGGAAGACUCACCACUGUUAAAAAAUAAAGAGGGAGCUCUUCUCUUUAGGUACUGACCCGGAAGGAGCUCUACGAUUAUUAAGAACAUCUGUAUGCUUCCAUCUGUGUUUCUAAAAAAGGGUUAUGGUGUCUUUGAACUUAUCUGCAUAUGCACAGAAAUCUUGGACAUGACCUACAAAAAAUAGCUGGUCACUAGUGGUUGCUGGGAACUGCUCAGGUGGCACUAAAUCCUUCCUAUAGGUUUUGAUUUUUUUUUUUUAAUUUGUAAAGAUUUUAUUUAUUUAUUUGACAGAUCACAAGUAGGCAGAGAGGCAGGCAGAGAGGGGGAAGCAGGCUCCCUGCUGAGCAGAGAGCCCCAUUUGGGGCUUGAUCCCAGGACCCUGAGAUCAUGACCUGAGCCGAAGGCAGAGGCUUUAACCCACUGAGCCACCCAGGCGCCCCUAGGUUUUGAUUUUUAAACCAUGUAAAUGUAUUUCCUCUUCAAAAAAGUAAAAUCUUAGUCCAAAUGUUGAAGUCCCUCCACUGCAGCCUACCUCAGUUCCCAAGGCCCAGCUGGAAACGCUCUCUAGCCCUGCCAGUGCCCAGCCGGCGUGGGGAAGCCGGCGCCUUCCCCGGGAGGCUCACCUCUAUGGGGAUAUAUAGCAUGAAUCCCGGCUCUCCUGUGUGCGUCAUGCUCAUCACCCGGAUCCCGUUCGCGUAGCCCACGCUCAUCUCCUGUGGAAGCAGAGGGAGCAGUUGAGCACGGGCACUUCAGAGGUCCUGGGCACCCGGCGCUUGCGGAGCGACGAACACCUGAGGUGAGCCCCUCUCGUUAGCUCUGCACCUCUGAUUCGACAAGGGGCACAUGUGAAUGAAAAAUUCAUCCUCCAAGUGGUCUGUUUGCAAGUACUGGGGUCAGCAGGAAUGGAGCAGAGUCGCUACAAUCUCUCUUCUCAGGAGUGUCGCCACUGCAGGAGGGCCAGCCAAGCUGCUGGUGGGAAGUGGAGGCAAAGUCUUUACAAGCAAGAAACAUUUCUUUGCACAAAGCCCUGCUGAGGAUUGGUUGUAGUCAGGGGCCUCUUGAGUGAUGAAGACCGGGUCAAUGUCUUCUCCAGGGGAUCUGGCAGCCAAGUCCUGGGCACCUACCCCACAAGAGGGCACCCGAUGACCACAGAACGUGGUGCACCUGCUACUCGGGUCAGAGGCUGGGCUUCUCACCCUCAGAAUGUGUUUAUGGAGCCUUAGUUACCUAACGGCCCUCUGGCACCAUUGCUGUUCCUAUCGGGGAAAGUGCUAAGUCCCAGAUGGCAGUGAAGCAAGCUACUCCCCCAGGGAGCCCAAGAGGACACGCUGCUCCGCAGGCUCACGCACAUGGACCACUCAUCAGGAAGCAAGCCCUGCAGGGAAGGGCCUGCUAACGGCUAAUGGCGUGAGCUUUCCGUUGCUACCAUUCUGCCGCGGAGGAAAAGGAAAACUGUACAGUCAGCAGCUGGAUCCCAGCUUGGGUCCAAAUUUUGAGGAGCCUCUAUGAGUAACUGUCCCACGGCUGUUGGUUACAGGUCACCAAACCACUGGUCCGUUUAGACCUCAUUUACCAGCAUUCAGUUCCCACUUGUUUUACUUAGUUAUCAAUGGCUACUGUUGCCAAACAUAAGGAACUUACAGAAGCUGCUCACCAGAGAUACUGCACAGACAGAAGUUACUCUGUGAAGGGGAAGGGGAAGCACAGAGAAUGCGAACCUGACCUUAACCAGCAUUUUUGGCAUCUGUGUAAUAAUGCUCUAACUUAGAAAAUUUAAGCCACUGCUACAUAAAGCAAUAAAUAUAUAGGGCUGAUACUGAGAGAAGUUAAAUCCACUUUCAAAGAUAGCCUAAUGCUUACUGAAUAAGGAGACCUGGCAGGGUGAAAAAUAAAUGAAUUUACUGAG